Molecule: ribosomal RNA, 292 nt
Filed under: uncultured Methylophilus sp.
Lineage: Bacteria; Pseudomonadati; Pseudomonadota; Betaproteobacteria; Nitrosomonadales; Methylophilaceae
Description: partial 16S ribosomal RNA
Rfam family: Bacterial small subunit ribosomal RNA
Source: RNAcentral
GUGUCAGCAGCCGCGGUAAUACGAAGGGGGCUAGCGUUGUUCGGAAUCACUGGGCGUAAAGCGUGCGCAGGCGGCCUGAUAAGUCAGAUGUGAAAUCCCCGAGCUCAACUUGGGAACUGCGUUUGAAACUAUCAAGCUAGAAUAUGUCAGAGGGGGGUAGAAUUCCACGUGUAGCAGUGAAAUGCGUAGAGAUGUGGAGGAAUACCAAUGGCGAAGGCAGCCCCCUGGGAUAAUAUUGACGCUCAUGCACGAAAGCGUGGGGAGCAAACAGGAUUAGAAACCCGAGUAGUCC